Molecule: ribosomal RNA, 483 nt
Filed under: uncultured bacterium
Lineage: Bacteria
Description: partial 16S ribosomal RNA
Rfam family: Bacterial small subunit ribosomal RNA
Source: RNAcentral
GACGAACGCUGGCGGCGUGCUUAACACAUGCAAGUCGAACGAUGAACCCGGAGCUUGCUCCGGUGGAUUAGUGGCGAACGGGUGAGUAACACGUGAGUAACCUGCCCUUGACUCUGGGAUAACUGCGGGAAACUGUAGCUAAUACCGGAUACGACCCUCGGCGGCAUCGCCAGGGGGUUGAAAGAAUUUCGGUCAAGGAUGACUCGCGGCCUAUCAGCUAGUUGGUGAGGUAACGGCUCACCUAGGCGACGACGGGUAGCCGGCCUGAGAGGGUGACCGGCCACACUGGGACUGAGACACGGCCCAGACUCCUACGGGAGGCAGCAGCGGGGAAUAUUGCACAAUGGGCGCAAGCCUGAUGCAACAACGCCGCGUGAGGGAUGACGGCCUUCGGGUUGUAAACCUCUUUUAGUAGGGAAGAAGCGAGAGUGACGGUACCUGCAGAAAAAGCACCGGCUAACUACGUGCCAGCCGCCGCCGUAA